AGAUCCAGCUUGCUGGAUGCUGACGAGCGGCGGACGGGUGAGUAAUGCAUAGGAAUCUGCCCGAUAGUGGGGGAUAACCUGGGGAAACCCAGGCUAAUACCGCAUACGUCCUACGGGAGAAAGGGGGCUCCGGCUCCCGCUAUGGGAUGAGCCUAUGUCGGAUUAGCUGGUUGGUGAGGUAACGGCUCACCAAGGCCACGAUCCGUAGCUGGUCUGAGAGGAUGAUCAGCCACAUCGGGACUGAGACACGGCCCGAACUCCUACGGGAGGCAGCAGUGGGGAAUAUUGGACAAUGGGGGAAACCCUGAUCCAGCCAUGCCGCGUGUGUGAAGAAGGCCCUCGGGUUGUAAAGCACUUUCAGCGAGGAAGAACGCCUAGCGGUUAAUACCCGCUAGGAAAGACAUCACUCGCAGAAGAAGCACCGGCUAACUCCGUGCCAGCAGCCGCGGUAAUACGGAGGGUGCAAGCGUUAAUCGGAAUUACUGGGCGUAAAGCGCGCGUAGGUGGCUUGAUAAGCCGGUUGUGAAAGCCCCGGGCUCAACCUGGGAACGGCAUCCGGAACUGUCAAGCUAGAGUGCAGGAGAGGAAGGUAGAAUUCCCGGUGUAGCGGUGAAAUGCGUAGAGAUCGGGAGGAAAUACCAG
Molecule: ribosomal RNA, 642 nt
Filed under: Vreelandella aquamarina
Lineage: Bacteria; Pseudomonadati; Pseudomonadota; Gammaproteobacteria; Oceanospirillales; Halomonadaceae
Description: bacterial SSU rRNA
Rfam family: Bacterial small subunit ribosomal RNA
Source: RNAcentral